UGGGCAGUACCUUAGAGGUAGAGCUACCGCUUCGCAUGCGGGAAGACCUGGGUUCGACUCCCGGCUGCUUAU
Molecule: transfer RNA, 72 nt
Filed under: Toxocara canis (dog roundworm)
Lineage: Eukaryota; Metazoa; Nematoda; Chromadorea; Rhabditida; Toxocaridae
Rfam family: tRNA
About the family: Transfer RNA (tRNA) molecules are approximately 80 nucleotides in length. Their secondary structure includes four short double-helical elements and three loops (D, anti-codon, and T loops). Further hydrogen bonds mediate the characteristic L-shaped molecular structure. tRNAs have two regions of fundamental functional importance: the anti-codon, which is responsible for specific mRNA codon recognition, and the 3' end, to which the tRNAs corresponding amino acid is attached (by aminoacyl-tRNA synthetases). tRNAs cope with the degeneracy of the genetic code in two manners: having more than one tRNA (with a specific anti-codon) for a particular amino acid; and 'wobble' base-pairing, i.e. permitting non-standard base-pairing at the 3rd anti-codon position.
Source: Rfam by way of RNAcentral